GUUAGGGCACGACACCGGAGAGGGAGCCUGAGAACGGCUACCACAUCCAAGGAUGGCAGCAGGCGCGCAAAUUACCCAAUCCCAACACGGGGAGGUAGUGACAAUAAAUAACAAUACGGGGUUCUUUCGGAUUUCGUAAUUGGAAUGAGUACAAUUUAAAUCUCUUAACGAGGGAACAAUUGGAGGGCAAGUCUGGUGCCAGCAGCCGSGGNUAAUUCCAGCUCCAAUAGCGUAUAUUAAAGUUGUUGCAGUUAAAAAGCUCGUAGUUGAAUUUCGGGAUCAAUUAAUUGGUCGUGCCUCUGGUACGUACUGAUUUUAUUGGUUUCUCCCUUCUGACGAACCAUGAUGUCRUUAAUUUGGUGUCGUGGAGAAUCAGGACUGUUACUUUGAAAAAAUUAGAGUGUUUAAAGCAAGCUAACGCUUGAAUACAUUAGCAUGGAAUAAUGAAAUAGGACGUUUGAUCCUAUUUUGUUGGUUUCUAGGAUCGACGUAAUGAUUAAUAGGGAUAGUUGGGGGCAUUANUAUUCAAUUGUCANAGGUGAAAUUCUUGGAUUUAUUGAAGACUAACUACUGCGAGAAGCAUUUGCCAAGGAUGUUUUCAUUAAUCAAGAACGAAAGUUAGGGGGAUCGAAGACNAUCANAUACCGUCGUAGUCUUAACCAUAANCUAUGCCGACUAGGGAUCGGAUGAUGUUAAUUUUUUAAUGACUCANUCGGCGCCNUACGGGAAACC
This 732-nucleotide ribosomal RNA is filed under the name uncultured Glomus. RNAcentral's name for it is "SSU rRNA". It matches the Rfam family "Eukaryotic small subunit ribosomal RNA", at positions 371 to 1110 of the family's 1831-position model. Lineage: Eukaryota; Fungi; Glomeromycota; Glomeromycetes; Glomerales; Glomeraceae. The record is from RNAcentral.